CCUACGGGAGGCAGCAGUGAGGAAUAUUGGUCAAUGGUCGGGAGACUGAACCAGCCAAGCCGCGUGAGGGAUGAUGGUACAGAGUAUCGUAAACCUCUUUUGUCAGGGAACAAAGGCGGGGACGUGUCCCCGGAUGAGUGUACCUGAAGAAAAAGCAUCGGCUAACUCCGUGCCAGCAGCCGCGGUAAUACGGAGGAUGCGAGCGUUAUCCGGAUUUAUUGGGUUUAAAGGGUGCGCAGGCGGUCUGUUAAGUCAGCGGUAAAAGCCCGGGGCUCAACCCCGGCCCGCCGUUGAAACUGGCAGUCUCGAGUUGGAGAGAAGUAUGCGGAAUGCGCGGUGUAGCGGUGAAAUGCAUAGAUAUCGCGCAGAACUCCGAUUGCGAAGGCAGCAUGCCGGCUCCACACUGACGCUGAGGCACGAAAGCGUGGGUAUCGAACAGGAUUAGAUACCCUAGUAGUC
RNAcentral lists this ribosomal RNA (459 nucleotides) under uncultured bacterium. RNAcentral's name for it is "partial 16S ribosomal RNA". It matches the Rfam family "Bacterial small subunit ribosomal RNA", at positions 338 to 795 of the family's 1533-position model. The record is from RNAcentral.